Molecule: non-coding RNA, 2615 nt
Organism: Petromyzon marinus (sea lamprey)
Lineage: Eukaryota; Metazoa; Chordata; Hyperoartia; Petromyzontiformes; Petromyzontidae
Source: RefSeq, a predicted model, not a curated record
ACACUCACUGUGAGAUUAGAGAUGGUCCACACACACUGUGAGAUUAGAGAUGGUCCACACACACUGUGAGAUUAGAGAUGGUCCACACACACUCACUGUGAGAUUAGAGAUGGUCCACACACGUUGUGAGAUUAGAGAUGGUCCACACUCGCUGUGAGAUUAGAGAUGGUCCACACACACUCACUGUGAGAUUAGAGAUGAUCCACACACACUCACUGUGAGAUUAGAGAUGGUCCACACACACUGGGAGAUUAGAGAUGGUCCACACACACUGUGAGAUUAGAGAUGGUCCACACUCACACACUGUGAGAUUAGAGAUGAUCCACACACACUGUGAGAUUAGAGAUGGUCCACACUCACUCACUGUGAGAUUAGAGAUGGUCCACACUCACUCACUGUGAUAUUAGAGAUGGUCCACACAAACUCACUGUGAGAUUAGAGAUGGUCCACACACUGUGAGAUUAGAGAUGGUCCACAUACACUCACUGUGAGAUUAGAGAUGGUCCACAUACACUCACUGUGAGAUUAGAGAUGGUCCACAUUCACUGUGAGAUUAGAGAUGGUCCACACACACACACUGUGAGAUUAGAGAUGGUCCACACACACGCUGUGAAAUUAGAGAUGGUCCACACUCACUGUGAGAUUAGAGAUGGUCCACACACACUCACUGUGAAAUUAGAGAUGGUCCACAUACACUGUGAGAUUAGAGAUGGUCCACACACACUCACUGUGAGAUUAGAGAUGGUCCACACUCACUGUGAGAUUAGAGAUGGUCCACACACAGUCACUGUGAGAUUAGAGAUCGUCCACACACACACUGUGAGAUUAGAGAUGGUCCACAUACACUCACUGUGAUAUUAGAGAUGGUCCACACAAACUUACUGUGAGAUUAGAGAUGGUCCACACACUGUGAGAUUAGAGAUGGUCCACACACACACAAUGUGAGAUUAGAGAUGGUCCACACACACGCUGUGAAAUUAGAGAUGGUCCACACUCACUGUGAGAUUAGAGAUGGUCCACACACACUCACUGUGAAAUUAGAGAUGGUCCACAUACACUGUGAGAUUAGAGAUGGUCCACACACACUCACUGUGAGAUUAGAGAUGGUCCACACUCACUGUGAGAUUAGAGAUGGUCCACACACAGUCACUGUGAGAUUAGAGAUCGUCCACACACACACUGUGAGAUUAGAGAUGGUCCACAUACACUCACUGUGAUAUUAGAGAUGGUCCACACAAACUCACUGUGAGAUUAGAGAUGGUCCACACACUGUGAGAUUAGAGAUGGUCCACACACACUCACUGUGAGAUUAGAGAUGGUCCACAUAUACUCACUGUGAGAUUAGAGAUUGUCCACAUUCACUGUGAGAUUAGAGAUGGUCCACAUAUACUCACUGUGAGAUUAGAGAUUGUCCACAUUCACUGUGAGAUUAGAGAUGGUCCACACACACACUGUGAGAUUAGAGAUGGUCCACAAACACACACACACACACUGUGAGAUUAGAGAUGGUCCAAACACACACACUGUGAGAUUAGAGAUGGUCCACACACACUCACUGUGAGAUUAGAGAUGGUCCACACACUCACUGUGAGAUUAGAGAUGGUCCACACACACUCACUGUGAGAUUAGAGAUGGUCCACACACACUCACUGUCAGAUUAGAGAUGGUCCACACACACACUGAGAUUAGAGAUGGUCCACACUCGCUGUGAGUUUAGAAACGACAACAAUACGGGGGGGAAAUGGUCUUCAAUUAAAGUCUGUGCAGAAUAUAGAAUCAAUCAAACACGCCCGCGACAAUUACAGCCGUAGAUGUAAAACCCAAAGACGCUUGAUUAGUGACGAGGAUAUAAACACUCAUUUUCCCUCCAUCCAGAUUUCAGCCUUGGACAUUUCACGACGCCGUUCUUCGUUCACUGCCCACCACGAUGUUGCUGACGCCGCGUUUCUGCAAUGUAUCCGAAAUUGCGUAGCAUGGGAGCGUUUAAUCCGUGGUGUUAAAAUCGUUUAACUCUUUAAAAAAAAAAUCGUGACGACAGAAUGCGUACGGAGUGAUUCGCGACGGGUCCUGCUGUACUCCGAGCAGCUUUCAAUUCGUGACGGCCACGCUCUUCCACCUCGUUUGUCGUGCCUUGGUCAACCCCACAUCGUGACCUUGUCUACAGAGGAGGGAGGGGUCACCACGCGGUCUAAACAAAAUGUUUCGCAGCAUGAGUGACCGUGCGAUCUGCCCUCGCCCCGUGACAGCCUGCAGCACCCGUCACCCAACACGUGACAUUGCUGCCCAACAUUAUUUGAUGACUCAGAAUUGAGAAGGGGCGGGGUCGGUUGGUCUGCUCCUUCGCUAACAGCACUUGCCCCAACAGUCUGCUGAGCCUACGCCUGGGGGAUCUUUGUCGUGAUGGGGGUGGGGCGAUGGAGGGGACGAGAGGGCUGUGGCGGGGCAAUGCCCGGCGAGACGCUCACAGACGAAGAAGAAGAGCAGCGCGGUCGUCGUGUGGCUCACGAUGUCAACCAACGGGGAAAUCGACACGGGGUGUAAUCCUUGAUUUUAUACUUAGAGAUUGGUGCUCAGUGAUAAUGGUCAUAAUAAAAUAUUGGCAGCGUUAUUCCGAG